AGUGAACGCUGGCGGUAGGCCUAACACAUGCAAGUCGAACGGCAGCACAGUAAGAGCUUGCUCUUACGGGUGGCGAGUGGCGGACGGGUGAGGAAUACAUCGGAAUCUACUUUUUCGUGGGGGAUAACGUAGGGAAACUUACGCUAAUACCGCAUACGACCUACGGGUGAAAGCAGGGGAUCUUCGGACCUUGCGCGAUUGAAUGAGCCGAUGUCGGAUUAGCUAGUUGGCGGGGUAAAGGCCCACCAAGGCGACGAUCCGUAGCUGGUCUGAGAGGAUGAUCAGCCACACUGGAACUGAGGCACGGUCCAGACUCCUACGGGAGGCAGCAGUGGGGAAUAUUGGACAAUGGGCGCAAGCCUGAUCCAGCCAUACCGCGUGGGUGAAGAAGGCCUUCGGGUUGUAAAGCCCUUUUGUUGGGAAAGAAAAGCAGCAGAUUAAUACCCCGCUGUUCUGACGGUACCCAAAGAAUAAGCACCGGCUAACUUCGUG
RNAcentral lists this ribosomal RNA (492 nucleotides) under uncultured bacterium. Its description in RNAcentral is "partial 16S ribosomal RNA". It matches the Rfam family "Bacterial small subunit ribosomal RNA", at positions 29 to 507 of the family's 1533-position model. The record is from RNAcentral.